AUGAACGCUAGCGGCAGGCCUAACACAUGCAAGUCGAGGGAGAAGCCCUUUCGGGGGCAGAAACCGGCGCACGGGUGCGUCACGCGUAUGCAACCUACCUUUCACAGGGGGAUAGCCCGAAGAAAUUUGGAUUAAUACCCCAUAAUAUUGUUGGAUGGCAUCAUUUGGCAAUUAAAACUGCGGUGGUGAAAGAUGGGCAUGCGUCCUAUUAGCUAGUUGGAGUGGUAACGGCACCCCAAGGCUACGAUAGGUAGGGGUCCUGAGAGGGAGAUCCCCCACACUGGUACUGAGACAGGGACCAGACUCCUACGGGAGGCAGCAGUGAGGAAUAUUGGUCAAUGGUCGGAAGACUGAACCAGCCAUGCCGCGUGCAGGAAGAAUGCCUUAUGGGUUGUAAACUGCUUUUAUAUGGGAAGAAUAAGGCGUACGUGUACGUUGAUGACGGUACCAUAUGAAUAAGCAUCGGCUAACUCCGUG
This 477-nucleotide ribosomal RNA is filed under the name uncultured bacterium. Its description in RNAcentral is "partial 16S ribosomal RNA". It matches the Rfam family "Bacterial small subunit ribosomal RNA", at positions 29 to 507 of the family's 1533-position model. The record is from RNAcentral.